Molecule: long non-coding RNA, 4461 nt
Filed under: Homo sapiens (human)
Lineage: Eukaryota; Metazoa; Chordata; Mammalia; Primates; Hominidae
Description: long non-coding RNA NONHSAT163897.1
Source: RNAcentral
UUGACCUAUAUUUGAUUCCCUCUUGCAAUAUGUGCUUUUGAUCAUGAAACUGCUGAGAAAAGGCUCCUUCUAAACCACAAAACAAGAUAUGAAGACUGGAGUGAGCCCUCAUCAGCCAGAUGGACUGUUUCAUCUCUUCCGAAAUAGAAACCUCCAACCUACUCAGCCCUUUUGAGGCCAAAAAGAUACCCAUGGGCCCUCAAAAACCAACAGUCUCUACACCAGACUAAAACAAGUUUCCUAAAAGCAUUUUCCUUUUGGGCUCAUUUUUAUUACCUCUCCAUCCCAUGGUCCGAAGAUAAGAAUAAUUUGCAUAUAACAGUCAGUAUUAAAAUUUUUGAUUUGCAAUGGAUCAAUGAAUGACGAGGUCAGCCCAUCUGUGACUGAACCAAUCAAUGAAUGAGAAAUGGGUAGGUGAUAUUUACUGUCUUCUCUGUUCUAAGGCCUGGAGGGUGAGGGCAUUGAUCUACUAGUUUGCCCUUAUAUAUUUUCUUUGCUGGAGUUUCAACAUUUCUCCCUUUCAUUCUGCUGCAAUUGACCAAAACUUAAAUAGUCUGGGAGAGGUGGAGAAAGUAGAUCUAAUAGUAUCACUCACAUAAACUCUGGUCUCCAUAGGGACAUGAUGAAUGGCCAAUAGCCUCUCCUGAAUAUUUCCUUGCUUCCUGCUUAGGCAAAGAAAAUUCGUCCUUCUAAGUCCAAGGAAACAAUUGUUUUAUGUCUGAUUGUUUUUUUAAUAAGCCUUCACCAUGACCUCCCUGCCUCCACUUAUUCUAACAGGAAUUGGGGGAAGGGGGAGGUCACACAUGCUUGGAAUGUGGUGGAUGAUGUGCAGCUCAGAUGUCACCAACCAUGAUGUUUGGCUGAAGUCUGCUUAUUGCUAACUUGGUGUCAUGGCUGUGUAGGUAAACAAAUAAAAAUCAAAUUCACAGGUCAACCAUUCUGAACAAUACCUGGCUAAUUUUCCUGUUUGAAAAAUUGUCAAAGCUUUUCAACUGACUUAGAAGGUAUUCCUAGGUCAGCUGCUUUGACUAACAAGUGGGUAUUGUGUUUUUGAAUGCGUGGGAUAAUGGCGAUAAGGUCCCUAGGCCACAGGUGCUAAGGAGUUGCCACGUGCAUGCAGCGCUUCAGAGUGGCACGUCCCUUAGCAACCCAUAGUGCAAUUAACAAACUUCAUCUCAUCCUCAGCAAAACAGCUUUUUUAAAGCAUGCCAAAUGUAGUAAAAGUCCAUUCAGAAUCAAAGCCACUAUCCUCUUAAGAAAAUAAAUGGUUAGGGAAGUCCCUUUUAUUUCUCACUGUGGUUGCUCAGCUUGGGGGCUACCUAAUGAGACAUAGCAGUUGGUCAAAUUAGGGAUCCCAGACCUUUGGAUGUCAUGAGUCAGUAAAUAUUUUCUCCACCCAAAAUUAUGGUUGCUGCUGGUGCUGGGGCCCGAGGAGGUCCGCGCCGGAGGAGGGCCACAGGGACUGAGCGAGUGACAGACGCACCACCCGUCAAUGCUGCAACCCUGUAAGGCCUCCAUGGACUCUCUACGUGAGUGUAGAAUGAAUCAAGCCGACUCAAACACAGCAGCUAUUCCACAUGCAGUGGAAGAUAUUCAAGGAGACGACAGAUGGAUAUCUCAGCACAACAGAUUUGUCCUGGAUGGUAAAGACAAAAAGCCUAACGUUGUGUUUGUGGGAGACCCCAUGGUGCAGUUAAUGCAGCAACACGAGAUAUGGCGAGAGCUUUUUUCCCCGUUUCACGCACUGAAUUUUAGAACUGAGGAAGAUACAAGACAUGUUUUAUAGAAAAUAAAGAGUAGAGAACUGGAGAAUAUUGAGAGGGCUCUGCAAAGAUCUGCAGAGCCCUCUAUGAACUGAUCAUGCAGCUGAUGGAGGAACACCCAAGGAGAGAAACAAACCACCAUUGCCUGACUGGCUCCCAUCAGCGUUAAUCUCUUCCCAGCUUCCUUGAUCAGUUAUGCCACUGGCACUACAGAAUCCAUCUCUUUCUCAAAGCACUUUGCAUUGCAAAAUGUUCCUGGAUGUUCAGCUCUAGUGUUUGAAAGGGUGGAGGGAUUUACACUGGCCUUGCACGUAGAAGGUUUAUUAGACACAGGAGAAAAAAUAGCCUAGGAAGAUUGUUGUUUAAAUUUAUCUGAAACCAGAAGGAGACUUUUUAGUUGUAUGUGUGAUGCAUUUGUUGAAUUAUCACUGUUUUUCCUAGGACAAUAUCAAGUCCAAGAACUGACCGAUAUGAAGUUUUUUUUUCUUGGCCUUGCUUUCUAUGGGUUAUGUCAUAUGUAAUAAUUAUCAGAAUCACACCUACUUGGCUUAAAAACAGAUUUUUAUUUUAAUUUUUAAAGCUCAUAAUUUAACCUUUUUUCUUGUUUUGCUUUAUUCAUAUAUAUCCUCAAUAUUUUCUUAACAUGCAGCAACAGAUUGAACAUGCUUGCCAUUCAAAUAUGAGAGAUGCUAUAGUUACAAAGGAAUUUGUUCCACUUUCUUAAUCCUUCCUAUGCAUAGCAGUGAAAAACAAAUUUUGCCCCAUGCAGGGAACCCUUUGGAAGGUUUUUUGGUUUUGUUUGUUUGUUUGUUUUUUGUUUAGAUGGAUUCUCAUUCUGUUGCCCAGGCUGGAGUGCAAUAGCAUGAUCUCGGCUCACUGCAACCUCUGCCUCCUUGGUUCAAGCGAUUCUCCUGCCUCAGCCUCCGGAAUAGCUAGGAUUACAGGCCCCCACCACCACGCCUGGCUAAUUUUUUUGUGUUUUUAGUAGCAACGGGGUUUUACCAUGUUGGUCAGGCUGAUCUCGAACUCCUGACCUCAGGUGAUCCACCCACUUCGGCCUCCCAAAGCGCUGGGACUACAGGCGUGAGCCACCGCAGUCAGCUGGAAGGUAUCAUUUUUAUGUUGCUAAAUAUCAUGUCUAUCAUAAACCUAUGCCUGCAGCCUUUCCUCUUCUCUGAAGUAUAAGCCCCCCUUACUCUCAUGAUAUUACCAAUGUAGAACUCAUUCUUGUGUGGUAUUCUGCACUAUAGAGUCUGCGUAGUGUUCUGGUAUGUUCUGGUAUGUUUUGUUUGCUUUUCCCUGAAAAUCUGCUAUAGUUUCCUUUUUUUGGAAAAAAAAAACAACAAAAACCUCUGCUUUCCAUUCCAUACUACCUGCCAUUAUUUCAAGUUUUAUAAUAUCCCAAGGUGUACAUUUUAUUUUUUUUUAAUUGACUUUGUUUUUAAAUAAAGCAGUCCAGAAAAUUUGGUCUUUUCCCGGGAGGAAACAAAUGAAGCUGCUCUUCAGAAUAGCCAUUCUGCUUUUAUCCCACCAGUUCAGUAAAAAAGAACUAGAUUUGUUUAACUUUUAAGGUUUCUCAUUAACGUACCUUCACCUGAAAAUUUCCUUCAAGAGAGCUCUUUAUAAUCUUAAUGUUUGCUUGGGCAACAAGAACUGCCAUGUAAAAAUAAAUAAUGGGACGAUAGAUGGCAUAUUGUUCAAUAUACCUGCGGAAUAUGUAUAAACUGGAUGUACAGACAGAUAUUUUGAACUAGACCAGGUGGGUAUUGAAGUAACCCAACAAAAUGUGAUCUGCAGUGAUUCUGCUUAAUGUUCAAAUUCAACAGCUAAGGUAUAUGUUUUAUGUUCUGCUCGCAAGGCAAAUGGCAGUACUUUUGUGUGCUGGAGGAGAGGUUGCUGAUUGGUGCCAAGACCCACUUCUGAUUGAGAGGGAUAAAAGUUGGGCUGAAUUUUCUCUAGUCAAGACUCCUUCUAGAUUUUUUUUUUUGUCUUUAAAAAUACAUACUUUAAAAAUGUAUCAUGUCUUCAUUAAUAACAGAAAAUACACAUGGUGCUCACUAAAUUUGUUUACUACAUUAAAAUUUCCUUUUUGUUUUUAGUAGUCCAGGUUCUUGAGUUUUUUCAAGGCAGAAUUUUUUUAUUUUAUUUUAUUUUUAGCUGAGGUACAGUUGUAUAGGAAGGAGAAUUAAGCCAGAAUUUGGUGUGUGCAAAGACAAUUUCCUAUCCAGGUCUUUUUCUGUCAGAGAGUGAGAGUUUUGUCCAAAUGAACCCAUUAGGUUACUACUGAGCAUGCGAUUUUAGCUUUUCUUUUCACGGAGGAUCAAAUAUCCCUUUGUGAGCUGAGCUUCCACUUGUUUGCUUAUGUAUGUAAACUUCAGAUAUCACUAUAUUCUAUAUCUACCACAGCUAUUCAGGCAACAGUAUUCUAAUAGCUAGCCUUUAAAUAAAAAUCUGCCUCAUUACUAAUGUUCAAAAAAACAAAGAUAAAAAUAGGUCUAAUCCUAGGUAGAAAAGGUGUUUUUCCAUACAUCAAGAUUUAUAGAAAAGGAGAUUCAGAGUCAUGCUAAGACAGAAUUUCAAUGCUUACAUUGUUCUCCUCAAAGAUAAAUUCAUUCAUCUAACCAUCUUACAGAGUAAUCUUUGUUUUUGUUUGGUUCUUUCCAUUAAAAAAAUUAAGAUCGAUCUGUUUUUUUGCACA